AGUAGGUGGGGUAACGGCUCACCUAGGCGACGAUCCCUAGCUGGUCUGAGAGGAUGACCAGCCACACUGGAACUGAGACACGGUCCAGACUCCUACGGGAGGCAGCAGUGGGGAAUAUUGCACAAUGGGCGCAAGCCUGAUGCAGCCAUGCCGCGUGUAUGAAGAAGGCCUUCGGGUUGUAAAGUACUUUCAGCGGGGAGGAAGGGAGUAAAGUUAAUACCUUUGCUCAUUGACGUUACCCGCAGAAGAAGCACCGGCUAACUCCGUGCCAGCAGCCGCGGUAAUACGGAGGGUGCAAGCGUUAAUCGGAAUUACUGGGCGUAAAGCGCACGCAGGCGGUUUGUUAAGUCAGAUGUGAAAUCCCCGGGCUCAACCUGGGAACUGCAUCUGAUACUGGCAAGCUUGAGUCUCGUAGAGGGGGGUAGAAUUCCAGGUGUAGCGGUGAAAUGCGUAGAGAUCUGGAGGAAUACCGGUGGCGAAGGCGGCCCCCUGGACGAAGACUGACGCUCAGGUGCGAAAGCGUGGGGAGCACACAGGAUUAGAUACCCUGGUAGUCCACGCCGUAAACGAUGUCGACUUGGAGGUUGUGCCCUUGAGGCGUGGCUUCCGGAGCUAACGCGUUAAGUCAACCGCCUGGGGAGUACGGCCGCAAGGUUAAAACUCAAAUGAAUUGACGGGGGCUCGCACAAGCGGUGGAGCAUGUGGUUUAAUUCGAUGCAACGCGAAGAACCUUACCUGGUCUUGACAUCCACGGAAGUUUUCAGAGAUGAGAAUGUGCCUUCGGGAACCGUGAGACAGGUGCUGCAUGGCUGUCGUCAGCUCGUGUUGUGAAAUGUUGGGUUAAGUCCCGCAACGAGCGCAACCCUUAUCCUUUGUUGCCAGCGGUCCGGCCGGGAACUCAAGGGAGACUGCCAGUGAUAAACUGGAGGAAGGUGGGGAUGACGUCAA
Molecule: ribosomal RNA, 948 nt
Filed under: uncultured Gammaproteobacteria bacterium
Lineage: Bacteria; Pseudomonadati; Pseudomonadota; Gammaproteobacteria
Description: bacterial SSU rRNA
Rfam family: Bacterial small subunit ribosomal RNA
Source: RNAcentral